Molecule: ribosomal RNA, 272 nt
Filed under: Escherichia coli
Lineage: Bacteria; Pseudomonadati; Pseudomonadota; Gammaproteobacteria; Enterobacterales; Enterobacteriaceae
Description: partial 16S ribosomal RNA
Rfam family: Bacterial small subunit ribosomal RNA
Source: RNAcentral
AAAUUGAAGAGUUUGAUCAUAGCUCAGAUUGAACGCUGGCGGCAGGCCUAACACAUGCAAGUCGAACGGUAACAGGAAGCAGCUUGCUGCUUCGCUGACGAGUGGCGGACGGGUGAGUAAUGUCUGGGAAACUGCCUGAUGGAGGGGGAUAACUACUGGAAACGGUAGCUAAUACCGCAUAAUGUCGCAAGACCAAAGAGGGGGACCUUCGGGCCUCUUGCCAUCGGAUGUGCCCAGAUGGGAUUAGCUUGUUGGUGGGGUAACGGCUCACC